This is a long non-coding RNA of Papio anubis (olive baboon), 1606 nucleotides long. Lineage: Eukaryota; Metazoa; Chordata; Mammalia; Primates; Cercopithecidae. The record is from Ensembl.
UCUAUGGCUAAAACAGAGUUAACCAGAACAUUCAGUUUGGAAAAACAUUAUAAUCGCUGAUAUUUUUGGUUACUCAACAUUUUGUUUUAUUUUGCAUUAGAAUGAAAGGUUAAUCAUUCACUACUUGAUGAGAUGCUGCCUGGCAUAAUAGUGUGGGCUGGAUAAAAAGCAACUUGCCUUGUUUGUAUUUUGCUGUGAAGUAGCCUGGUGGCUCAGGGAAAUUACUUAACCUCUUGGAGGUUCAGAAUGCUCAACUGGAUUAAGAUAUCAAAUUGGAGACUUUAUAAGACUCUGUAGUUCUAAGUGCCUUCCAUGUGCUUCCAAGUCAUUUACCAGGUACUACAGGUGAAGCUAGAGACAUUGGCCCUGAGUUAUCUUCAAGAAGGUCAACUGUGAACAUCUCAAUCUCUUCCUGAAAACUGUCAAUCAUUUCCCAACACCUACUGAACAAAAUUCUGUGGAUACCAUCAAAAGCUUCCUACUAAUAAGGAUAAAGGAAAAGAAAAAAAGGAAUUGUCUCUGCCCCCAGGCCUUGGACUCUGAGACAGUUAACAAGAGGCUCACGGAGAGGCUGGCUGACCCACAGCUACUGCCCGGAGACUGGGUAGUAGGAAGGCCAAUAGAGGGAGAUAAAUAAAGUGCCAUCUAAUUAAGAAACACAGCAAUGGCUCAUCCUAGAGUUGAGAAGGAAAGAGAGGCUGCUUCUACCAGGUUCUCUGUCCUGCAACAUAAGGUAUGUCCAAUUAUAAUUUCCAAACAAUUAAGAGUGUGACUAUGUGUUAAAGAUUAUUAAUUUAAUAAUGAGGGAGUUGGUAAAAUGGUAAAACUGGUUCAAAGAGCAUUUUUAAAAACAAGUGACUCUUACAUAAUCCAGGAAAGAAGGCAUCUUGAAAUAAAUUUGCUGUUAGACAGAAAAUUGGAAUAUCAUACAGGACAAUAAAAUAUAACUUUUAGGAUUAUCUACUUUAACAGAGUGAAAUCUACGUUACAUGUAACUUGAUUGUAUCUAAUCCCUUAAAAGCAGAUAUAUCCCCAUGUAUCAGUAAUCUUUGAAUAAGCCUGUGAAAUAAUAUUCCAAUAUGACAUUGAAAGGACAUGGUGCUCACUUUUCUGCCUUAUUUCUAAGUUUAAAAAGAUUUUUUCCUGCAGUCCCCCUAUUUUGAUCAUAAAUAAUCUGCAAAGAUUAUUCUCUAUCACAGAAAAACUGAUGGUCUUGAGAGGAGGUGUCAGCUGGGCUUCCUGGGUCGAGCAGGGGCCCAGAAAGCUGUGAAUCUCACUCAUUCUCUGCAUCAGGACUUACUUCGGUCCUGGAUGAAUAAUACUGAAGAUAUAUGCUAAAAAUAUUCCUAACAUCAGAAUUUGUGCAUGUGUUUUCUUCCCCAAGAAAGCUACAAACAGCAAAAAUUUUGUUGUAAGCUUCCCUAUGUCCUCUCUCUCUCCCUCUCUCCCUUCCCACUUCCCUGAAAUUAAAAGCAACGUUAAAAGCCCAUUUUUCUGAGACCAGCAGACCUUAUCUAUGCUCCCAAUUCCAAUUCCUUGUAAACACAAUUUGUAAAAUCCUGUGAGAUCCUGUCUCCUUUGCCAUGCUGCUGCAAGGUCAUAAAGU